GGAAGUAAAAGUCGUAACUAGGUCUCCGUAGGUGAACCUGCGGAGGGAUCAUUACAGAGUUCUCGCCCUCGCGGGUAGAUCUCCCACCCACUGUUAUCGUUACUGUGUUGCUUUGGCGGGCCGCCGGGCCCCGCUCGGCCGCCGGCUCCGGCUGGCGCGCGCCCGCCAGAGGCCCAGCAAACUCUGAAUGUUAGUGUCGUCUGAGUACUAUAUAAUAGUUAAAACUUUCAACAACGGAUCUCUUGGUUCUG
Molecule: unclassified non-coding RNA, 251 nt
Filed under: plant metagenome
Description: partial contains small subunit ribosomal RNA, internal transcribed spacer 1, and 5.8S ribosomal RNA
Rfam family: Eukaryotic small subunit ribosomal RNA (bases 1-54)
Source: RNAcentral